RNAcentral lists this ribosomal RNA (253 nucleotides) under uncultured bacterium. RNAcentral's name for it is "partial 16S ribosomal RNA". It matches the Rfam family "Bacterial small subunit ribosomal RNA", at positions 524 to 776 of the family's 1533-position model. The record is from RNAcentral.
UACGGGGGGAGCAAGCGUUGUUCGGAUUUACUGGGCGUAAAGGGCGCGUAGGCGGCGCAACAAGUCACUUGUGAAAUCUCCGGGCUUAACUCGGAGCGGCCAAGUGAUACUGUCGUGCUAGAGUGCGGAAGGGGCAACUGGAAUUCUCGGUGUAGCGGUGAAAUGCGUAGAUAUCGAGAGGAACACCUGCGGCGAAGGCGGGUUGCUGGGUCGACACUGACGCUGAGGCGCGAAAGCCAGGGGAGCGAACGGG